Molecule: ribosomal RNA, 460 nt
Filed under: uncultured bacterium
Lineage: Bacteria
Description: partial 16S ribosomal RNA
Rfam family: Bacterial small subunit ribosomal RNA
Source: RNAcentral
CCUACGGGUGGCAGCAGUGAGGAAUAUUGGUCAAUGGACGAAAGUCUGAACCAGCCAAGCCGCGUGAAGGAUGACUGCCCUAUGGGUUGUAAACUUCUUUUAUAUGGGAAUAAAAUGUUCCACGUGUGGGAUUUUGUAUGUACCAUAUGAAUAAGGAUCGGCUAACUCCGUGCCAGCAGCCGCGGUAAUACGGCGGAUGCGAGCGUUAUCCGGAUUUAUUGGGUGUAAAGGGAGCGUAGGGGGAUUGUUAAGUCAGAUGUGAAAGUUUGCGGCUCAACCGGGGAAUUGCAGUUGAAACUGGCAGUCUUGAGUACAGGAGAGGUGGGCGGAAUUCGUGGUGUAGCGGUGAAAUGCGUAGAUAUCAGGAAGAACUCCGAUGGCGAAGGCAGCUCACUGGACUGCAACUGACACUGAGGCUCGAAAGUGUGGGUAUCAAACAGGAUUAGAUACCCGGGUAGUC